Molecule: ribosomal RNA, 497 nt
Filed under: uncultured bacterium
Lineage: Bacteria
Description: partial 16S ribosomal RNA
Rfam family: Bacterial small subunit ribosomal RNA
Source: RNAcentral
GAUGAACGCUGGCGGCGUGCCUAAUACAUGCAAGUCGAGCGAACGGACGAGAAGCUUGCUUCUCUGAUGUUAGCGGCGGACGGGUGAGUAACACGUGGAUAACCUACCUAUAAGACUGGGAUAACUUCGGGAAACCGGAGCUAAUACCGGAUAAUUUUUUGAACCGCAUGGUUCAAAAGUGAAAGACGGUCUUGCUGUCACUUAUAGAUGGAUCCGCGCUGCAUUAGCUAGUUGGUAAGGUAACGGCUUACCAAGGCAACGAUGCAUAGCCGACCUGAGAGGGUGAUCGGCCACACUAGAACUGAGACACGGUCCAGACUCCAACGGGAGGCAGCAGUAGGGAAUCUUCCGCAAUGGGCGAAAGCAUGACGAAGCAACGCCGAGUGAGUGAUGAAGGUCUUCGGAUCGUACAACUCUGUUAUUAGGGAAGAACAUAUGUGUAAGUAACUGUGCACAUCUUGACGGUACCUAAUCAGAAAGCCACGGCUAACUACGUG